RNAcentral lists this ribosomal RNA (403 nucleotides) under uncultured bacterium. RNAcentral's name for it is "partial 16S ribosomal RNA". It matches the Rfam family "Bacterial small subunit ribosomal RNA", at positions 30 to 526 of the family's 1533-position model. The record is from RNAcentral.
AUUGAACGCUGGCGGCAGGCCUAACACAUGCAAGUCGAGCGAGCGGCGGACGGGUGAGUAAUGUAUGGGGACUGCCCGAUAGAGGGGGAUAACUACUGGAAACGGUAGCUAAUACCGCAUACUAUCGGAUAACCCAUAUGGGAUUAGCUAGUAGGUGAGGUAAUGGCUCACCUAGGCGACGAUCCCUAGCUGGUCUGAGAGGAUGAUCAGCCAACAGGGGACUGAGGCACGGCCAAGACUCCUACGGAGGCAGCGGUGGGGAAUAUUGAACGAUGGGCGCAAGCCUGAUGCAGCCAUGCCGCGUGUAUGAAGGAGGCCCUAGGGUUGUAAGGUACUUUCAGUCGGGAGGCGUUACCGACAGAAGAAGCACCAGCUAACUCCGUGCCAGCAGCCGCGGUAAUUC